AGUGUACUAGAGGUAAGUCACU
RNAcentral lists this non-coding RNA (22 nucleotides) under Arabidopsis thaliana (thale cress). Lineage: Eukaryota; Viridiplantae; Streptophyta; Magnoliopsida; Brassicales; Brassicaceae. The record is from RNAcentral.